Molecule: long non-coding RNA, 475 nt
Filed under: Sinocyclocheilus grahami
Lineage: Eukaryota; Metazoa; Chordata; Actinopteri; Cypriniformes; Cyprinidae
Description: lncRNA (ENSSGRG00000049134.1)
Source: RNAcentral
AUAACAAAUGCUAGUGUGUCAAGAGUGCUGAUGUGUGUUUUUCCAUUCCUUUCUGUGUUCAGGAGUUUGAGAUUCUGUCUCAGAUCAAGCAGCUGCAGGCGUCAUGCGCUCACUACAAACUCCAAUCACAUCCUCGCAUCAUUUCCUGGAUCAACAGCGGCAUACCUCUUUCUGAUCAGAAGAGCUAUGAGUUGUCAAGAGAACUGGAGCCACCAGUUGACCCCUGUCCCAGCUCUCCCAACCCCUGGAGCCACCGGCUCAUCACCAAGAAACUGACCUCGUUGCUGUCUGGCAGUGAGAACUUCUCAAAGAAGACUUUUGCUGAUCAGAUCAGUGUAUCAUCCUCUGGCUCCAGUGGCUCAGAGAUGGAAGAUCUCAGCAGCCCCAACCUCUCACCACUUAGAUACAAAGUACAGGUAACAAAACUGCAGACCAGAGCUGCAGACUUUUGUUAUUUAUUACCUCAUAUACUCUA